AAAGUUAAAUAAUUCUAUUGCUGCCCAGCUGGUUUACUCAGAGAUGAAAUCAGACUUUGAGGCCAACAUAAAUAAAAAAGAAAGAGAUUCUUAUUAGAUGUUACAGAGUUGAACCAAUAGAGUCUUGUGCAACAAAAGCAGGCCUGAAGGUGGUCAGUGGUCUCAUCUCUGUUUGUGAGAAUAGAAAAUGAAUACUCUGAUUUGAAGAUGCUGUCAGCUAUAGGGGCAAUUUUCAGUUAAAAUAAAUAAAUGCAAAUGGUGGAUUGAUACGUGGAGCUUGUUAUUUUUUAGUCAACCCUAGAUGGAUCUCACCUAAUGAUAAAUAGGAAGUACGAUGUAUGAUUUUUUUUCCCUUGAGUCAAAAUGAGACUCAUUCAUCUCUGCCUCUCAUUGGCCAACACUAGGCUUCAUUGGAUUAGAUAGCUCCAGAUUAGGAUUUAAAAUGAGGAGCAGGUUACCGGUUGUUUUCUGAUGCUUGUGAUGGUAAACAUUUGUGUUUGACGCACAAAACAUCUGUGUUUUCAGAGGCACCCAUCACUGCUGCCUGCUUCUGUCUCACAAGAACACAAACAUAUACAGUGAGAAUUUUCUAAAUUAGCAAACAAAGGACAAAGGACUGUCCUCCAAAUGGGUUUUGAGGUGGAACGUCUUCAGAUAAAACUGCCACAUGCUAACCUACAGCCACUGAAGGUCUCUGAGUGGCUGUGGGAGAAAACAGGAAGAAAAGAACAAGAUUGGGGAAGUGGCUUCUGCUCAGGAGGCAAUGUAAUCAUUUCUCAAAUGGAAGGUGUGAGGAGCAGAGCUGUUGAUGAAUGAGGGGACAUAAAUCAGAGAAACACUGAGGUGACAUCCCAAAAGAAUGCACCGCAGAACAUGAGCAACAAGAUCGUUUCAUGUUGGCUUUCAUGUGUUACUGCUACUCUGGGAGCAAAAUACAGGAAACCUUUCCUCAAAGAGGGAAAUGCAGACAUAAAGGGCAACUGUCAACAGACAUUUUCUGCCUGAAAUGACUUCCUGGUGUUAAAUAAACAUGAGUGGUUCUGCAGCCAUUCUCUAUA
Molecule: long non-coding RNA, 1058 nt
Organism: Nothobranchius furzeri (turquoise killifish)
Lineage: Eukaryota; Metazoa; Chordata; Actinopteri; Cyprinodontiformes; Nothobranchiidae
Source: RefSeq, a predicted model, not a curated record